RNAcentral lists this ribosomal RNA (824 nucleotides) under Ramularia vizellae. Its description in RNAcentral is "eukaryotic LSU rRNA". It matches the Rfam family "Eukaryotic large subunit ribosomal RNA", at positions 54 to 909 of the family's 3401-position model. The record is from RNAcentral. Lineage: Eukaryota; Fungi; Ascomycota; Dothideomycetes; Mycosphaerellales; Mycosphaerellaceae.
AGGAAAAGAAACCAACAGGGAUUGCCCUAGUAACGGCGAGUGAAGCGGCAACAGCUCAAAUUUGAAAUCUGGCGCAAGCCCGAGUUGUAAUUUGUAGAGGAUGCUUCUAGGUAGCGACCGGUCUAAGUUCCUUGGAACAGGACGUCAUAGAGGGUGAGAAUCCCGUAUGUGACUGGCCCGCACCUUCUACGUAGCUCCUUCGACGAGUCGAGUUGUUUGGGAAUGCAGCUCUAAAUGGGAGGUAAAUUUCUUCUAAAGCUAAAUACCGGCCAGAGACCGAUAGCGCACAAGUAGAGUGAUCGAAAGAUGAAAAGCACUUUGGAAAGAGAGUUAAAAAGCACGUGAAAUUGUUGAAAGGGAAGCGCUCACAACCAGACUUCUAGGCAGUGUUCCGCCGGUCUUUUGACCGGUCUACUCUCUGUCUCGAGGCCAACAUCAUCUGGGACCGCUGGAUAAGACCUUAGGAAUGUAGCUCCCCUCGGGGAGUGUUAUAGCCUCUGGUGAUGCAGCGAGUCUCGGGUGAGGUCCGCGCUUCGGCAAGGAUGUUGGCGUAAUGGUUGUCAGCGGCCCGUCUUGAAACACGGACCAAGGAGUCUAACAUCUAUGCGAGUGUUCGGGUGUCAAACCCCUACGCGUAAUGAAAGUGAACGGAGGUGGGAAGCGUAAGCUGCACCAUCGACCGAUCCUGAUGUCCUCGGAUGGAUUUGAGUAAGAGCAUAGCUGUUGGGACCCGAAAGAUGGUGAACUAUGCCUGAAUAGGGUGAAGCCAGAGGAAACUCUGGUGGAGGCUCGCAGCGGUUCUGACGUGCAAAUCGAUCGUCAAA